Molecule: transfer RNA, 86 nt
Filed under: bacterium 336/3
Lineage: Bacteria; Pseudomonadati
Also listed under: 1 other name
Rfam family: tRNA
About the family: Transfer RNA (tRNA) molecules are approximately 80 nucleotides in length. Their secondary structure includes four short double-helical elements and three loops (D, anti-codon, and T loops).
Source: Rfam by way of RNAcentral
ACCGGAGUGGUGGAACUGGUAGACACGCAGGACUUAAAAUCCUGUGGCACUCAAAUGCCGUAUGGGUUCGAUUCCCAUCUCUGGUA